RNAcentral lists this ribosomal RNA (253 nucleotides) under uncultured bacterium. RNAcentral describes it as "partial 16S ribosomal RNA". It matches the Rfam family "Bacterial small subunit ribosomal RNA", at positions 524 to 776 of the family's 1533-position model. The record is from RNAcentral.
UACGAAGGGGGCUAGCGUUGCUCGGAAUCACUGGGCGUAAAGCGCACGUAGGCGGAUCUUUAAGUCAGGGGUGAAAUCCUGGAGCUCAACUCCAGAACUGCCUUUGAUACUGAAGAUCUUGAGUCCGGGAGAGGUGAGUGGAACUGCGAGUGUAGAGGUGAAAUUCGUAGAUAUUCGCAAGAACACCAGUGGCGAAGGCGGCUCACUGGCCCGGUACUGACGCUGAGGCACGAAAGCGUGGGGAGCAAACAGG